GGAGGAAUACCCAAGUCUGGUUAAAGGGGCUCGCUUGGAAAGCGUGUAGAUCUUAUUAGAUGCGAGGGUUCGAAUCCCUCUUCCUCCGCCA
RNAcentral lists this transfer RNA (91 nucleotides) under Candidatus Phytoplasma australasiaticum. RNAcentral describes it as "tRNA-Ser". It matches the Rfam family "tRNA". From Rfam's summary of the family: Transfer RNA (tRNA) molecules are approximately 80 nucleotides in length. Their secondary structure includes four short double-helical elements and three loops (D, anti-codon, and T loops). The record is from RNAcentral. Lineage: Bacteria; Bacillati; Mycoplasmatota; Mollicutes; Acholeplasmatales; Acholeplasmataceae. RNAcentral also lists the same sequence under 2 other names.